AGUUGAAUUNNGGGAUUGACACGUCGGUCGUGCCCUAAGGGGUAUGAACUGGCGUAGUCAAUUUCUCACCUNNNGGAGAACCNCNAUGCCCUUAAUUGGGUGUCGCGGGGAACCAGGACCUUUANNUUGAAAAAAUUAGAGUGUUUAAAGCAGGCAUUUUGCUUGAAUACAUUAGCAUGGAAUAAUAAAAUAGGACGGCAUGAUUCNNNUUUGUUGGUUUCUAGGAUCACCGUAAUGAUUAAUAGGGAUAGUUGGGGGCAUUAGUAUUCAAUUGUCAGAGGUGAAAUUCUUGGAUUUAUUGAAGACUAACUACUGCGAAAGCAUUUGCCAAGGAUGUUUUCAUUAAUCAAGAACGAAAGUUAGGGGAUCGAAGACGAUCAG
RNAcentral lists this ribosomal RNA (381 nucleotides) under uncultured fungus. RNAcentral's name for it is "partial small subunit ribosomal RNA". It matches the Rfam family "Eukaryotic small subunit ribosomal RNA", at positions 632 to 1011 of the family's 1831-position model. The record is from RNAcentral. Lineage: Eukaryota; Fungi.